GGUUAAGCGACUAAGCGUACACGGUGGAUGCCCUGGCAGUCAGAGGCGAUGAAGGACGUGCUAAUCUGCGAAAAGCGUCGGUAAGGUGAUAUGAACCGUUACAGCCGGCGAUGUCCGAAUGGGGAAACCCAGUGCAAUUCGUUGCACUAUCGUUAACUGAAUACAUAGGUUAACGAGGCGAACCGGGGGAACUGAAACAUCUAAGUACCCCGAGGAAAAGAAAUCAACCGAGAUUCCCCCAGUAGCGGCGAGCGAACGGGGAGCAGCCCAGAGUCUGAAUCAGCUUGUGUGUUAGUGGAACGGUCUGGAAAGUCCGACGGUACAGGGUGAUAGUCCCGUACACCAAAAUGCACAGGCUGUGAACUCGAAGAGUAGGGCGGGACACGUGGUAUCCUGUCUGAAUAUGGGGGGACCAUCCUCCAAGGCUAAAUACUCCUGACUGACCGAUAGUGAACCAGUACCGUGAGGGAAAGGCGAAAAGAACCCCGGCGAGGGGAGUGAAAAAGAACCUGAAACCGUGUACGUACAAGCAGUGGGAGCACCUUCGGGUGUGACUGCGUACCUUUUGUAUAAUGGGUCAGCGACUUAUAUUCUGUAGCAAGGUUAACCGUAUAGGGGAGCCGCAGGGAAACCGAGUCUUAACUGGGCGUUAAGUUGCAGGGUAUAGACCCGAAACCCGGUGAUCUAGCCAUGGGCAGGUUGAAGGUUGGGUAACACUAACUGGAGGACCGAACCGACUAAUGUUGAAAAAUUAGCGGAUGACUUGUGGCUGGGGGUGAAAGGCCAAUCAAACCGGGAGAUAGCUGGUUCUCCCCGAAAGCUAUUUAGGUAGCGCCUCGUGAAUUCAUCUUCGGGGGUAGAGCACUGUUUCGGCUAGGGGGUCAUCCCGACUUACCAACCCGAUGCAAACUACGAAUACCGAAGAAUGUUAUCACGGGAGACACACGGCGGGUGCUAACGUCCGUCGUGAAGAGGGAAACAACCCAGACCGCCAGCUAAGGUCCCAAAGUCAUGGUUAAGUGGGAAACGAUGUGGGAAGGCACAGACAGCCAGGAUGUUGGCUUAGAAGCAGCCAUCAUUUAAAGAAAGCGUAAUAGCUCACUGGUCGAGUCGGCCUGCGCGGAAGAUGUAACGGGGCUAAACCAUGCACCGAAGCUGCGGCAGCGACACUAUGUGUUGUUGGGUAGGGGAGCGUUCUGUAAGCCUGCGAAGGUGGCCUGUGAGGGUUGCUGGAGGUAUCAGAAGUGCGAAUGCUGACAUAAGUAACGAUAAAGCGGGUGAAAAGCCCGCUCGCCGGAAGACCAAGGGUUCCUGUCCAACGUUAAUCGGGGCAGGGUGAGUCGACCCCUAAGGCGAGGCCGAAAGGCGUAGUCGAUGGGAAACAGGUUAAUAUUCCUGUACUUGGUGUUACUGCGAAGGGGGGACGGAGAAGGCUAUGUUAGCCGGGCGACGGUUGUCCCGGUUUAAGCAUGUAGGCUGGUUAUCCAGGCAAAUCCGGAUAAUCAAGGCUGAGGUGUGAUGACGAGGCACUACGGUGCUGAAGUAACAAAUGCCCUGCUUCCAGGAAAAGCCUCUAAGCAUCAGGUAACAUCAAAUCGUACCCCAAACCGACACAGGUGGUCAGGUAGAGAAUACCAAGGCGCUUGAGAGAACUCGGGUGAAGGAACUAGGCAAAAUGGUGCCGUAACUUCGGGAGAAGGCACGCUGGUGUGUAGGUGAAGUCCCUGCGGAUGGAGCUGAGACCAGUCGAAGAUACCAGCUGGCUGCAACUGUUUAUUAAAAACACAGCACUGUGCAAACACGAAAGUGGACGUAUACGGUGUGACGCCUGCCCGGUGCCGGAAGGUUAAUUGAUGGGGUUAUCCGUAAGGAGAAGCUCUUGAUCGAAGCCCCGGUAAACGGCGGCCGUAACUAUAACGGUCCUAAGGUAGCGAAAUUCCUUGUCGGGUAAGUUCCGACCUGCACGAAUGGCGUAACGAUGGCCACGCUGUCUCCACCCGAGACUCAGUGAAAUUGAACUCGCUGUGAAGAUGCAGUGUACCCGCGGCAAGACGGAAAGACCCCGUGAACCUUUACUAUAGCUUGACACUGAACAUUGAGCCUUGAUGUGUAGGAUAGGUGGGAGGCUUUGAAGCGUGGACGCCAGUCUGCGUGGAGCCAACCUUGAAAUACCACCCUUUAAUGUUUGAUGUUCUAACGUUGGCCCCUUACCGGGGUUGCGGACAGUGUCUGGUGGGUAGUUUGACUGGGGCGGUCUCCUCCCAAAGCGUAACGGAGGAGCACGAAGGUUAGCUAAUCCUGGUCGGACAUCAGGAGGUUAGUGCAAUGGCAUAAGCUAGCUUGACUGCGAGCGUGACGGCGCGAGCAGGUGCGAAAGCAGGUCAUAGUGAUCCGGUGGUUCUGAAUGGAAGGGCCAUCGCUCAACGGAUAAAAGGUACUCCGGGGAUAACAGGCUGAUACCGCCCAAGAGUUCAUAUCGACGGCGGUGUUUGGCACCUCGAUGUCGGCUCAUCACAUCCUGGGGCUGAAGUAGGUCCCAAGGGUAUGGCUGUUCGCCAUUUAAAGUGGUACGCGAGCUGGGUUUAGAACGUCGUGAGACAGUUCGGUCCCUAUCUGCCGUGGGCGCUGGAGAAUUGAGGGGGGCUGCUCCUAGUACGAGAGGACCGGAGUGGACGCAUCACUGGUGUUCGGGUUGUCAUGCCAAUGGCACUGCCCGGUAGCUAAAUGCGGAAGAGAUAAGUGCUGAAAGCAUCUAAGCACGAAACUUGCCCCGAGAUGAGUUCUCCCUGAGACUUUAAGUCUCCUGAAGGAACGUUAAAGACGAUGACGUUGAUAGGCCGGGUGUGUAAGCGCAGCGAUGCGUUGAGCUAACCGGUACUAAUGAACCGUGAGGCUUAACCUU
Molecule: ribosomal RNA, 2902 nt
Filed under: Acetobacter senegalensis
Lineage: Bacteria; Pseudomonadati; Pseudomonadota; Alphaproteobacteria; Acetobacterales; Acetobacteraceae
Description: 23S ribosomal RNA
Rfam family: Bacterial large subunit ribosomal RNA
Source: RNAcentral